GAGUAUAGAAGAAAAAGAGGGAGAAUAGAAGUGAGAAUGAAAGUGGAGAUGAGAUUGAGAGGGAAGAUGUAAGGGGAGGAUGGGAGGGAAGAGUAACAAAAGUGAAAAUAAGAACUAAAAACUGAAAUCUAUUUAGUUCUUGUUUUCACUUUUAUUACUCCUCCCUCCUAUCCUCCCCUUUUAUCCUCUCUCUCAAUCUCAUCCUCACUCUUAUUUUCCUCUAUACUAU
Molecule: small nucleolar RNA, 229 nt
Filed under: Prunus dulcis (almond)
Lineage: Eukaryota; Viridiplantae; Streptophyta; Magnoliopsida; Rosales; Rosaceae
Description: sRNA ncRNA
Source: RNAcentral